GUUGGGUAUGGUGGUGCACGCCUGUAAUCCUAGCAGCUAGAGAGGCUGAGGCAGGAGGAUCACGAGUUCAAAGCCAGCUUCAACAAAAGUGAGGCCCUAAGCAACUCAGUGAGACCCUGUCUCUA
This 125-nucleotide small RNA is filed under the name Marmota monax (woodchuck). Lineage: Eukaryota; Metazoa; Chordata; Mammalia; Rodentia; Sciuridae. The record is from RNAcentral.